Long non-coding RNA from Hevea brasiliensis (rubber tree), 351 nucleotides. RefSeq lists it as uncharacterized. The record is from RefSeq and is a predicted model, not a curated record. Lineage: Eukaryota; Viridiplantae; Streptophyta; Magnoliopsida; Malpighiales; Euphorbiaceae. The transcript is spliced from 2 exons.
CGGAAAAGUCUCCGAAUUGGGCCGAGAUUUUGCCUACCCCCCCAUUGUCAGACGUCCCGAGCGCGUCCCCGAAGUCGGAAUCGGCAAAGGCCACAGGAGGAUAUUUUGUUCUGGGUUAACCUGCUUUUCUACCUCGCAGGUUGUUUAUCAAUAUUGUGUAAUUUUAAUUACUCCUAGAAUUUCCGCAUGUGUUAGCAGUAUUUAUUUGAAAUUGGUCUGUAAUAUUUUUAUCAUGUUGGACCUGUAAACUUAAAUAUGUUAUGCAUGUUGAUGGAUUGGAUGAGGGAGCUGAGCUCCCAUUUAUUUUAUGUUGAUGAGUAUGUGGAGGGUGAGCUGAGCUCCCAAAUUGAG